This 444-nucleotide ribosomal RNA is filed under the name uncultured bacterium. RNAcentral's name for it is "bacterial SSU rRNA". It matches the Rfam family "Bacterial small subunit ribosomal RNA", at positions 542 to 985 of the family's 1533-position model. The record is from RNAcentral.
CGUAUCGGAUUACUGGGCGUAAGCGCACGUAGGUGGUUUGGUAAGUCGGAUGUGAAAUCCCCGGGCUCAACCUGGGAAUGGCAUUCGAGACUGUCAAGCUAGAGUCUGGUAGAGGGUGGUGGAAUUCCAGGUGUAGCGGUGAAAUGCGUAGAUAUCUGGAGGAACAUCAGUGGCGAAGGCGGCCACCUGGACUGAGACUGACACUGAGGUGCGAAAGCGUGGGUAGCAAACAGGAUUAGAUACCCUGGUAGUCCACGCCGUAAACGAUGUCAACUAGAUGUUGGGAGGGUUAAACCUUCUAGUGUCGCAGCUAACGCGCUAAGUUGACCGCCUGGGGAGUACGGCCGCAAGGUUAAAACUCAAAGGAAUUGACGGGGGCCCGCACAAGCGGUGGAGUAUGUGGUUUAAUUCGAUGCAACGCGAAAAACCUUACCUGCCCUUGAC